Molecule: ribosomal RNA, 67 nt
Filed under: Nocardiopsis sp. MG754419
Lineage: Bacteria; Bacillati; Actinomycetota; Actinomycetes; Streptosporangiales; Nocardiopsidaceae
Also listed under: 1 other name
Description: partial 16S ribosomal RNA
Rfam family: Bacterial small subunit ribosomal RNA
Source: RNAcentral
CAUUCACGGAGAGUUUGAUCCUGGCUCAGGACGAACGCUGGCGGCGUGCUUAACACAUGCAAGUCGA